AAUCAACGCUGGCGGCGUGCCUCAGACAUGCAAGUCGAACGAUUAAAGCUCUCUUCGGAGAGUGUAUAGAGUGGCGCACGGGUGAGUAACACGUAAGUAAUCUACCCUCGAGUGGGGAAUAACAACCGGAAACGGUUGCUAAUACCGCAUAAUGCAGCGGCACCGCAAGGUGACAGUUGUUAAAGAUUUAUCGCUUGAGGAGGAGCUUGCGGCAGAUUAGCUAGUUGGUAGGGUAACGGCUUACCAAGGCUACGAUCUGUAACCGGUCUAAGAGGACGGUCGGUCACACUGACACUGAAUAACGGGUCAGACUCCUACGGGAGGCAGCAGUCGGGAAUUUUGGGCAAUGGGCGAAAGUCUGACCCAGCAACGCCGCGUGAAGGAUGAAGUAUUUCGGUAUGUAAACUUCGAAAGAAUAGGAAGAAUUAAUGACGGUACUAUUUAUAAGGUCCGGCUAACUACGUGCCAGCAGCCGCGGU
RNAcentral lists this ribosomal RNA (479 nucleotides) under uncultured bacterium. RNAcentral's name for it is "bacterial SSU rRNA". It matches the Rfam family "Bacterial small subunit ribosomal RNA", at positions 32 to 521 of the family's 1533-position model. The record is from RNAcentral.